AUGUUGGGGGGGGGUGACCCCGCGCCCCAGCACCGCCCCUGUGGUGGGGGCCACGCGGCUGCGUGCGGCCCGCCCGGGCCCUGGGUCGCUGCCACAGGCAGGGAGCGGGCUGCAAGCAGAGCCCGCAUCGGCUCUAUGGUGGAGGCAACGGGGUGGGACUAGCGCAGCUCAGCCCUGCCUCCUCCACAGCCGUCCACCAAGAGCUGCGCGGGCAUCUGUUGCCAUCUACGCAGAUCCGGUGGGUCCCGCGUCCCCGCCCCCGCUGCCUGAGGCGGGGCUGGGGGUGGGGUCAGCACAGCGUAGGGGCGGGAUCCAGACCCCCGCCCCCCAGCUGUGUCCCUCACCCCGCUUAUAUGAGAUAUGCAUGUUUGCAGUAGGAUGGAUAUAUGAUCCCUGGGACACAAGGAUGAGUUAAUGGAAUGUAUUUCUAUUAGUUCGUAUGGCUGGAUUGAACAGGUGGUGAUGAUUAAUAGGUAAUGUCUCCAGACUAGUUUGAACAUGAAAUGUAGUCUACAUA
Gavialis gangeticus (Gharial) is the source of this 517-nucleotide long non-coding RNA. RefSeq lists it as uncharacterized. Lineage: Eukaryota; Metazoa; Chordata; Crocodylia; Gavialidae. The transcript has 3 exons. The record is from RefSeq and is a predicted model, not a curated record.